RNAcentral lists this long non-coding RNA (1909 nucleotides) under Olea europaea subsp. europaea. Lineage: Eukaryota; Viridiplantae; Streptophyta; Magnoliopsida; Lamiales; Oleaceae. The record is from RNAcentral.
GCCACCAGUCGAAUCAUCGCAUGGGACGAAUGGUGGAACCGAAAGAUUAAGGUAACGGUUUCACAACUUCUCAAAAACUCGUGGUCGUAAAUGUGCAUUUCUGUGCUCGUUCAAUGCUUUUUUGUGAAUUGGUUUGUGUUUACAUUGUCAUCAGACUGUUUUGUAGGCUUUGAAGAAAUGUUGAACAAGUUAUUAAUAUUUAUCAGCAGUCCAUAAUUAUUUCAAAAGAUUUAAGCAAACAUAAAUGUAAUCGUUGUCCAACUUUGAUAACUUGCUUUUCUUGAUUUGGGGAUGAUUGGUUGAGCAUGUUCGUGCAAUCAUAACUGACAACUCUCAUCCUAAUUCUUGAUGUGGUUCAAUUUCUAGUUUUAAAGUUCUUUAAUUGUAAUGAAAUAUUUGGUUAAUACUUUCCAUUUCAUAUUGCAAUCUUUGCAAAUUGGUGGCAGCAGUUACACUCGUAUUAAAUCAUGGUGCAUUUUUCAUUGAUUUCAUUUCGAUGUGUCAAUAUGGCAAGGGGAUAGUGAUGAUAUUCAAACAAGUUUCUCGUGGUCUAAAGUAGAAACAUUCUCGUUGUUCUUUUCUAAUAACUCUCUUCUCAUAAGCUGGCUGUCAGUGCAAAAGAAUUUCCACACAAACUAAGCUCAAUCUUCGUAUUUAUUUAUGGAAGUACACAUCCUAGUUGGUUAUAACACUUUUUUGCUAAUUUUGAUUGAAAGCCUUUGUCAAAGAUUGAACUCUUAGCUGGCUGACAGUCCAAAUGACUUCCCACAAACUAAGCGCAAUCUCAAUAUCUGAUUUAUUUACUAUUAAGUAAGAGAACAUUCUGACUGUGUUAUAAAGCAUACGAAAUGUUUGCAAAAGUUGGUUGUAAAAUUUUGGUUAGGAGAUUUAAGCUCAUUUCCUGCUUGAUAGUGCUUUUCAUCUACUUGGUUGUUGAAAAAACAAUGAAUGAAAUUAGAUAGGAUGCGGUGUCUUAUAUUUGUGAAGAAAUGCUAGAAGGAUUCAUAUACUUGUUUAAUAGUGUUAGAUCUUUAGAUCAUAUUGUGCUUAUCACCUGGUAUAAUGAAAAGUUUAUUAGUUCUGAGAUAUUCUUUGUUCUCAAAGGUAAACAUGAAAAUAUAAACAUGUGUCAGCUCAAACUGGUUCACAUUUCUUGCGUUUUAUCUUUAUUGAUACAUUUCAAAUUUCAUUUCAUAGAUACUAUCAUUGUUCAACCCAUGCUAUGCAAGUGAACAAAGACUUCAAGAACAAUGACAUCGACGAGAUCUACAUUCACUAUCAUCAGCUAUUCAAUGACAGCUACGACGAAAACAAGUAUGCUGUCACUCCAACGAAGUUGUACAGAACAGGAUUCAGCCUAUUCGAGGAUAGUGCACUCGAAGACAACAGGGAUGCGAUCUCGGUCAAUGGAGAGAGUAGUGGUUCGAGCGACGAGGCCAAGCAAACAAACAUGUUAGGGUUGGCGUGAACGUUUCCACCACCACAAGCAGCAGUAAAAGGAAAUCUUCUGACGAGAAGCGACGGGGCAGGAAGAAAUAGAUCUCUACUCGUGAACUAUCUUUCUCAGUUGACUGUCAUCAGUGUCAAGAGGAAGUGGCAGCGAAGAUUAAUACGAUGAUGGCUUCAAACGAAAGCGCAGGCGCUACCUGUGUUGAAGAGUUGUUGGCGACAUGACAACUUGAGCGACGUACACCUUUGUAUUUUUCGCAUCCACACUUCUUGCAUAGAAGUGUUAUCAGGACAUAUUCGCCAUCAUGAAGGACAUAAAUAAGAAAUUUGAGUGGAAUAAGUGGAUGUUCAAUGACUGGUAAAAGUAAUUAUGCCAGUGAUUGUAUGUCUUUGAUGUAACGCCCCGAAUUCUUUUUCAUUAUUAUAGUUAUUUUUAAAUAAAAAUGAGCUCAAGGUGCUA